UACAGAGGGUGCAAGCGUUGUUCGGAAUUACUGGGCGUAAAGCGAGUGUAGGCGGCUUAUUAAGUCAGAUGUGAAAUCCCUUGGCUCAACCGAGGAACUGCAUCUGAUACUGGUAGGCUUGAGUGUCGGAGGGGAUGGUAGAAUUCCUGGUGUAGAGGUGAAAUUCGUAGAUAUCAGGAGGAAUACCUGUGGCGAAGGCGACCAUCUGGAAGACAACUGACGCUGAGACUCGAAAGCGUGGGUAGCAAACAGG
RNAcentral lists this ribosomal RNA (253 nucleotides) under uncultured bacterium. RNAcentral describes it as "partial 16S ribosomal RNA". It matches the Rfam family "Bacterial small subunit ribosomal RNA", at positions 524 to 776 of the family's 1533-position model. The record is from RNAcentral.